CAAAGAUUUCACGAACCAUUCACAUUCUCACAUGCGUUGCUAUAAAAGAAUGCUAUAAAAAUUCAAAUUUUCGUGUGAAAGCUUUUUGCAAUUAUUUAGUACUUAGAAUAGUUUAAGGAUAUAAUAAUAAAUGGCUCAUCAACUUUGACAUAUUGGUUAACUGUGGUACUCGUAUAAAUUUGUUGAAUUGGUUGUUGUGAAGGUUGAAGACAAUUACAUUAUAAUUUUGGAGGUCUUUCGAACAUCUUAGAGAUAUAAUCCCUCAUUUCUCCAUCUACGUCGGCUUAGGGCAGAAGUUAGUUGCAGUGAUAUUUCAGUUAUUCCGUUUAGUUCAAGUGAAAUUUAUGUUCCGGCUCUUACAUCACCGGCAGCGAAAACUCUGCUCUCGAGCUUUGUUUAAUUAUUACAAAAGCGUCCGGCAGACGCUUUUUAUCUU
Long non-coding RNA from Aedes aegypti (yellow fever mosquito), 436 nucleotides. RefSeq lists it as uncharacterized. The record is from RefSeq and is a predicted model, not a curated record. The transcript has 3 exons. NCBI's taxonomy places the organism in Eukaryota, Metazoa, Arthropoda, Insecta, Diptera, Culicidae.